This 518-nucleotide long non-coding RNA is filed under the name Equus caballus (horse). RNAcentral describes it as "lncRNA (ENSECAG00000041595.2)". Lineage: Eukaryota; Metazoa; Chordata; Mammalia; Perissodactyla; Equidae. The record is from RNAcentral.
CAGCCAUCGCAGACUCUAGGGGAGGGAGCGAUGUUCUCUCCUACCAUUCCAGCACCUCCGAAGGUGUAAGGAGCUCAUGCCCCACCUUCCGCCUCCCCACACGCAGUCCAUAGACCUGCCAGCAGGGAGUUUUUUCUGAGCUUUGCUUUGCAGGCACCCAUGAUUUACAAAAUUCUACCAGGAGAGAAUGGUGCAAUAUCUAAAUCUGUGGUCCGUGCCCUGAAAAAGUAGUCCAGACAAAAGAUAAGAAAAAUGAUUGUCGGAUACAGUUUAUAAAACACACGCAGAAGAAACGUGGUGAUGGGCAUACCCCAAUGCUCCAGCAAGCUGGACCCUGGACACAACUGAGCCACAAGCAGAGCAUUGAAGAAAACACACCCCAGGCCAAGGAUUCAAUAAUUUGGUACAAACGCUUAGGCUGAUAAACUGGAGAAGGUGACUAUGGCAGCACAGAUCCAGGGCACCAGAAGGCAGACUGCACAGAGACCUGUGAGGGCUCUUUAUGGAUCCUGAUGGAA